GUUAGUGAAAACAUUCUGAAGAAAACAUCUUUUGCCUAAACCAGAACAUUUUCUUUGUUCUUCUAUCCAAUUAAACAUCAGUUUAUCUCCUUGAUUGCUCAGAUGAAUGGUCUCAAUGCUUUCAGCUGGAGUUGCUCAAGUAAGAAAGGUUUCUGUUUACUCUUCGGUUAGGAAGUUUUCCUAGUAAUUCUUAAACAACUGGAGGACACCUUGUUCAUCCAUACACCAGAGAUAACCUCGUGCAGCUCUGAAGUCUGCAGCCUCUCUAACUUCUGAGCAAUUGGAAUAGAAAGAUGUUUAGGCUUCUUCUGGUGUUGCGGUUAUAAAUGAAAUCAUGGAAUUUACUCAUGAAGUCAGUAGACAGUUUAUUUCCACUAGGCUAAAAAAGGACUGCAAGAUCAAGCUGGGAUACUUUCCUGUCUGGACAAUUACUUACCUUAUGCAUCUCUACAUGGGAGGAAAUAGUACUGAUUUCAAAACGUAUCUGGUGAAGAUGAAGAAAACACUGCAUAAAGACAAGAAUGAAAUAGUUGAAAUAAGAUCCUCUGGAUCAUUUAUAAAAUCUAAUCUGACUCUGACCAGAAUAUUCCUGUAGUUCAUCAGGGUUUGACUCCUACGUGGAAAAAAUUUUAGCAUCUAGCUACUCUGCUGGCACCUGUAAUAAAGGUGGGGGUAGCAGGAGGGGCAGGUCACAGUGCUGGAAGUGCCACCCUCUCACCUUUCUCUGAGAGCAUGAACAAGAUCUUCACUUUCUCACCUACUGUUACUUCUCCCUCAGAGAGAAAAAUACAAGGUAGGACAGAUUUUCUUCACACUCAAAAAGGUGACUGAACUAAUUCACCUCACGCAGUAAUUGAAUACAAAACCUUAAGUAUAAGAAAAAGAAAUGUUCUGGUAGCCCUGAAAUUACAGCUUUUGUUGCUUUUGUGAAAAUUAAACUGUAACUGGAAAAUGAGAAAAGUAGCUGCAAUAUCUGUAUUCACAAGACAUCUUCGUGAUCAUGUUUUUUGUUUACUAUAGUAGCCAAGGUAGAUGCUUCCAAGUGAAAGGCAAAAAGCAUUAGAGAUAGAUGACUGGAAAAUAUUCUUCUGAAAACUGUACAACCUAAGACCUCAUUAAAAUGAAGAUUUUCACAGAAUUUUUCUAUACUGAAAUACUGUGAAUAAAGUGCAACACUUUCUAUUCUACUGCCUGUAUACAGUCUAACUGGUGAAAAUUGAGUUUUUUUAAUUUAAUUUUUAUCAGCUGCAAAAUUGUGUUAAAGACAUUGUUAAAGAUGUUCCUCUGGCAUCCUACUUCUGUUAUUUCUUUGAAUUUUCAAACAUCUUUAUUUAAUUUAUUUAAUUUUUGCUUCUUAUUAUUUUCAUUUGUUUUUCUAAAGAAAUUACUGCCUUUGUUCUUCAUGUAGACCUAACAAUAUGCCUAGAAAAUGUUGCAAUAUUUUUAUUUAAGGACUUGAUAUACUGAAGAUGUACAGUGUACUCUUUUUUCUUUGCGUAUUGUAUAAUUGAUUUGUGUACAGAUAUAUAAAAAUGAGAAGACAUAU
Molecule: long non-coding RNA, 1546 nt
Organism: Gallus gallus (chicken)
Lineage: Eukaryota; Metazoa; Chordata; Aves; Galliformes; Phasianidae
Source: Ensembl